RNAcentral lists this ribosomal RNA (361 nucleotides) under Staphylococcus epidermidis. Its description in RNAcentral is "bacterial SSU rRNA". It matches the Rfam family "Bacterial small subunit ribosomal RNA", at positions 1 to 351 of the family's 1533-position model. The record is from RNAcentral. Lineage: Bacteria; Bacillati; Bacillota; Bacilli; Caryophanales; Staphylococcaceae.
UUUAUGGAGAGUUUGAUCCUGGCUCAGGAUGAACGCUGGCGGCGUGCCUAAUACAUGCAAGUCGAGCGAACAGAUAAGGAGCUUGCUCCUUUGACGUUAGCGGCGGACGGGUGAGUAACACGUGGAUAACCUACCUAUAAGACUGGGAUAACUUCGGGAAACCGGAGCUAAUACCGGAUAACAUAUUGAACCGCAUGGUUCAAUAGUGAAAGGCGGCUUUGCUGUCACUUAUAGAUGGAUCCGCGCCGUAUUAGCUAGUUGGUAAGGUAACGGCUUACCAAGGCAACGAUACGUAGCCGACCUGAGAGGGUGAUCGGCCACACUGGAACUGAGACACGGUCCAGACUCCUACGGGAGGCAG